Molecule: unclassified non-coding RNA, 377 nt
Filed under: Pichia fermentans
Lineage: Eukaryota; Fungi; Ascomycota; Pichiomycetes; Pichiales; Pichiaceae
Description: sequence contains 18S rRNA gene, ITS1, 5.8S rRNA gene, ITS2, 28S rRNA gene
Rfam family: 5.8S ribosomal RNA (bases 88-240)
Source: RNAcentral
GAUCAUUACUGUGAUUUAUCCACCACACUGCGUGGGCGACACGAAACACCGAAACCGAACGCACGCCGUCAAGCAAGAAAUCCACAAAACUUUCAACAACGGAUCUCUUGGUUCUCGCAUCGAUGAAGAGCGCAGCGAAAUGCGAUACCUAGUGUGAAUUGCAGCCAUCGUGAAUCAUCGAGUUCUUGAACGCACAUUGCGCCCGCUGGUAUUCCGGCGGGCAUGCCUGUCUGAGCGUCGUUUCCUUCUUGGAGCGGAGCUUCAGACCUGGCGGGCUGUCCUUGGGGACGGCGCGCCCAAAGCGAGGGGCCUUCUGCGCGAACUAGACUGUGCGCGCGGGGCGGCCGGCGAACUUAUACCAAGCUCGACCUCAGAUC